Molecule: RNA transcript, 917 nt
Organism: Sardina pilchardus (European sardine)
Lineage: Eukaryota; Metazoa; Chordata; Actinopteri; Clupeiformes; Clupeidae
Gene name: flagellum-associated coiled-coil domain-containing protein 1-like
Exons: 9
Source: RefSeq, a predicted model, not a curated record
CUCAACUGGACUGCAGGCCUGCAGCCCCUAACCCUACUCACCCAUUUCCACUCCACUCUUUUGGAAGUAGGAAAGUGAAGUGAAAAUGCAGGUGGUACUUCAGGACAUGCAAGAGCAAAUGGGCAAACUGACUGCUCUUCUGAAGGAUGAGCGCAGGUCCCAUCAGCAUAGCUGCCGUGCGCUGCUGGAAGAGGCUGACAGGCGGGCAGAAAGGGUCAGGCAGAUGCAUCAGCUGGAGAUGAACCAGCUGGUCGAGGCACACAAAAAGGAGAUCAAAAAUAAUGUGGAGCUCCACUCCCAACACAUGGAAGAUGAAAGAAGCUAUGCAGCUGAACGCUAUGCCUUGCUGGAAAAAGACUAUGACUUCCUGAAAAGCUCCUUUCGUACCUACAAGGACAGCAUUGCUGAAGAAAUGCGCAGCAGUUGGCUGAAAAAGGAGAACAUCUGGAGAGAAGAGCAGGAGAGGGAUCUCCUGGAGCAAAUGAUGAGUUGUGAUAAAGAAACAACUGAGCCAGUGUGAGAUGGAAAAGGAAGAACAACGAAAGGCCUUUGAGGCUGACAUCGCAGAACUACAUUCUCAUUACAGCACUGAAAUCAAGGCACUUGAAAAGGAGCUGUCAGAAAAAGAAGUAUCUGUCACCUUGCUGAACACUGCUCUCAUGCAAACCCAGUAUCAGCUGGAAUUAAUGAACCAUAACUCCUCAGGUGUGGUAGCUAGGAAGGGGCUCAGCCGCAGGCGAACAACCAUUCUGGAGCUGGCCCAGUCCAACGCAACACUAGAGUGACUGAGAGACCCUCUGCGCUAUCGGCACCCAUGCAUAUGGGCUUGUUCUGAUAGAGUGCAUGGACAAGUCAUUACAAUGUCCUUAAGUCCUGCAGAGGUUGAAAAAUACUUUGAUUCUGUUGAAUCUUAUCGU